Molecule: ribosomal RNA, 440 nt
Filed under: uncultured bacterium
Lineage: Bacteria
Description: partial 16S ribosomal RNA
Rfam family: Bacterial small subunit ribosomal RNA
Source: RNAcentral
CCUACGGGUGGCAGCAGUAGGGAAUAUUGCUCAAUGGGGGAAACCCUGAAGCAGCAACGCCGCGUGAAGGAUGAAGGUUUUCGGAGUGUAAACUCCUUUUGGUAGAGAAGAAAAUGACGGUAUCUAACGAAUAAGCACCGGCUAAAGCCGUGCCAGCAGCCGCGGUAAUACGGAGGGUGCAAGCGUUACUCGGAAUCACUGGGCGUAAAGGGCGCGUAGGCGGGAUAGCAAGUCAGAUGUGAAAACCUAGGGGUUAACCAUAGAACUGCAUUUGAAACUGUUAUUCUAGAGUAUGGGAGAGGUAUGUGGAAUUCUUGGUGUAGGGGUGAAAUCCGUAGAGAUCAAGAGGAAUACUCAUUGCGAAGGCGACCUGCUAGAACCUAACUGACGCUGAUGCGCGAAAGCGUGGGGAGCAAACAGGAUUAGAUACCCCAGUAGUC